Molecule: ribosomal RNA, 798 nt
Filed under: Triticum aestivum (bread wheat)
Lineage: Eukaryota; Viridiplantae; Streptophyta; Magnoliopsida; Poales; Poaceae
Description: partial small subunit ribosomal RNA
Source: RNAcentral
AUGUACUCCCUCCGUCCUGAAAAACACGUCGCAGGUGUAGUUCAUUGCCAGUUUUAUAAAAAAAGCCCUCGUAGUUUCAAAACAAUCACAAACAAGCCCUUCCACCCCGUCUUCUUCCUCCGCCGUCGCCCGUGCGUCUGCAGGGGGCGGCGGCGCCGCCAAGCUGCGCGAUUUGCAGCCCACCAGGAAGUGUUCCGCCUCCGUCGCCACGUACCUUCAACGCAGCUGCCGUCGCCAAGUACUUACUCCGCCACCGCCGCGUCGCCAAGUACUUACUCCGCCACCGCCGCGAUCCCAUCCCGCAGCGAUUACCUGCGAGCGUCGCUGGAAUUUCAACCACGAUCCGGUGGAGCAGGAGCUCCCUCUCAUCGUCCUCGAGCUCCCGCGAGUCCUCCUCGUGCUCCUGCAGUCCACCUUGAGCUGCCUCCCGUGCGCCACCGCGACCCACCUACGGGCAUCGUCGGAGCCGGCCUCCACGAUCCGGUGGACAGGAGCUCGCGCGCGUCCUCCGUGGUCUCCCACGUGUCGCCGUGGUGCUCCUUCUCUGCCUGCGUGCCCGCCGGUGGUGCUAGCCCGUGCUGCUGCAUCUUGUUUCUCCUCUGUUUCUCCCCUGCCACCGGUGGAGCUAACCCGUGCUGCUGCUGCUCCUCUUCCCGUGUUGAUGCUACUGCUCUGCCUGUGCUUCUGUUGCUGAUCCGUGCCGUGUUGCUGUUGUUGCUGUUGACUCCCGCCGUGACUGCUGCUGCUGGUGCUAUUUGCACUCUGAAGAAGGUACUCCAUCAGAGUACUGCUACCUGA